RNAcentral lists this ribosomal RNA (440 nucleotides) under uncultured bacterium. RNAcentral's name for it is "partial 16S ribosomal RNA". It matches the Rfam family "Bacterial small subunit ribosomal RNA", at positions 338 to 795 of the family's 1533-position model. The record is from RNAcentral.
CCUACGGGUGGCAGCAGUAGGGAAUAUUGCUCAAUGGGGGAAACCCUGAAGCAGCAACGCCGCGUGGAGGAUGAAGGUUUUCGGAUUGUAAACUCCUUUUGUUAGAGAAGAUAAUGACGGUAUCUAACGAAUAAGCACCGGCUAACUCCGUGCCAGCAGCCGUGGUAAUACGGAGGGUGCAAGCGUUAUUCGGAAUCACUGGGCGUAAAGAGGGCGUAGGCGGGUUAGCAAGUCAGAUGUGAAAUUCUAUGGCUUAACCAUAGAACUGCAUUUGAAACUGUUAUUCUAGAGAAUGGGAACGGUAGGUGGAAUGUUUGGUGUAGGGGUAAAAUCCGUAGAGAUCAAAAAGAAUACUCAUUGCGAAGGCGACCUACUAGAACAUAACUGACGCUGAUGCGCGAAAGCGUGGGGAGCAAACAGGAUUAGAUACCCCGGUAGUC